RNAcentral lists this ribosomal RNA (1000 nucleotides) under Micrococcus luteus. RNAcentral describes it as "bacterial SSU rRNA". It matches the Rfam family "Bacterial small subunit ribosomal RNA", at positions 90 to 1112 of the family's 1533-position model. Lineage: Bacteria; Bacillati; Actinomycetota; Actinomycetes; Micrococcales; Micrococcaceae. The record is from RNAcentral.
GGGGGUUAGGGCAAAGGUGAUUCCCCUGGAUACCUCCCUUAAUUGGGGAAAGCCGGGGAAAUGGGUUUAAAACCGGAUAAGGGGUUCCCCCGCUUGGGGGGUUAGGAAAGAUUUUUGGGUUGGGAGGGCCUGGGGCUUUUUAGUUUGGUGGGGAGUUAAUGCCUCCCCAGGGCGAGGGGGGUUCCCCGCCUAAAAGGGUCCCCGCCCCCCGGGGGAUUGAGCCCCGGCCCAAUUUUCUUGGGGGAGGCAGCAGGGGGGAAUUUUGCCCAAUGGGCGCAAGCCUGAUGCAGCGACGCCGCUUGAAGGAUGACGGCCUUCGGGUUGUAAACCUCUUUCAGUAGGGAAGAAGCGAAAGUGACGGUACCUGCAGAAGAAGCACGGGCAAACUACGUGCCAGCAGCCGCGGUAAUACGUAGGGUGCGAGCGUUAUCCGGAAUUAUUGGGCGUAAAGAGCUCGUAGGCGGUUUGUCGCGUCUGUCGUGAAAGUCCGGGGCUUAACCCCGGAUCUGCGGUGGGUACGGGCAGACUAGAGUGCGGUAGGGGAGACUGGAAUUCCUGGUGUAGCGGUGGAAUGCGCAGAUAUCAGGAGGAACACCGAUGGCGAAGGCAGGUCUCUGGGCUGUAACUGACGCUGAGGAGCGAAAGCAUGGGGAGCGAACAGGAUUAGAUACCCUGGUAGUCCAUGCCGUAAACGUUGGGCACUAGGUGUGGGGACCAUUCCACGGUUUCCGUGCCGCAGCUAACGCAUUAAGUGCCCCGCCUGGGGAGUACGGCCGCAAGGCUAAAACUCAAAGGAAUUGACGGGGGCCCGCACAAGCGGCGGAGCAUGCGGAUUAAUUCGAUGCAACGCGAAGAACCUUACCAAGGCUUGACAUGUUCUCGAUCGCCGUAGAGAUACGGUUUCCCCUUUGGGGCGGGUUCACAGGUGGUGCAUGGUUGUCGUCAGCUCGUGUCGUGAGAUGUUGGGUUAAGUCCCGCAACGAGCGCAACCCUCGUUCCA